Molecule: long non-coding RNA, 505 nt
Organism: Pomacea canaliculata
Lineage: Eukaryota; Metazoa; Mollusca; Gastropoda; Architaenioglossa; Ampullariidae
Exons: 3
Source: RefSeq, a predicted model, not a curated record
CUGUGAGCCUGGCCUGUACUCUGUAACCAACCAAUUACCAUGCCUGCCUUGUCCACUGGGAACUUACAAGAAUGAGACAGGAAACCAGAACUGCAGCCUGUGUCCUGCAGAUCGAACAACACCUCAUACAGGCAGUGUCACAGAAAACAGCUGUUCUCUUGUUGUGUGUCCUGCUGGCCAGUUCCGUAACACCAAUAAUAUGUGUCAAGACUGUGACACUGGCUACUAUCAGUCACAGCCUGGUCAGACUUCCUGUCAGUCAUGUGUUGCUAACUAUACAACAUACACCAAGGCAUCAACCUCACAUGAAAACUGCACAAUUAACUGCCCACCUGGACAAUUUCGGGAUACCAGGACUUCAUGUCAGAAAUGUGUGGUGGGCUCUUAUCAGCCAAACUAUGGAGCAACAUCAUGCAUUAACUGCACUACAAACUUCAUUACAGCAGGCAGUGGUUCAACAAACUCGUCGGACUGUUUCAGUAUGUUUGGUUCCUUGGUGCUUUAC